UUUGCUGGCAUCUUCUCUCUUUUGAAGGUUCAGCUCCUCUCANAUGAAUUANCGGGGUCCUCUUUGCCGAUCCUUGACAUGUNAUAAGAUGUUUCCAUGCCUUGGUUUCUGGCUCUGUCGCCUUCGGGACCCGCUCCUAACCGUCUUGACCUUGCAUCGAGACAAUGUUCGAGCUCGUCUCCCUUCUCGGGAGACAUCCUCGACCCCACGAACCCUUGACCUCAAAUCGGGUGAGACUACCCGCUGAACUUAAGCAUAUCAAUA
This 264-nucleotide unclassified non-coding RNA is filed under the name uncultured fungus. Its description in RNAcentral is "sequence contains ITS2, 28S rRNA gene". The record is from RNAcentral. Lineage: Eukaryota; Fungi.